This 773-nucleotide ribosomal RNA is filed under the name uncultured Neocallimastigales. Its description in RNAcentral is "partial large subunit ribosomal RNA". It matches the Rfam family "Eukaryotic large subunit ribosomal RNA", at positions 23 to 620 of the family's 3401-position model. Lineage: Eukaryota; Fungi; Neocallimastigomycota; Neocallimastigomycetes; Neocallimastigales. The record is from RNAcentral.
AGAGAGAGACAUGCGCGCAUAUCAAUAAGCGGAGGAAAAGAAACUAACAAGGAUUCCCUAGUAACGGCGAGUGAAGCGGGAAGAGCUCAAAUUUGAAAUCUUCAAGGUUCUACCUUGACGAAUUGUAGUUUAAAGAAGUGUUUUCUGUUGAAGUUUUGGUAAAAGUUCUUUGGAAUAGGACAUCAUAGAGGGUGAGAAUCCCGUAUUUGACCAUUAUUUUCAGCUUUGUGAUACACUUUCAAAGAGUCGGAUUGUUUGGGAAUGCAGUCCAAAAUGGGUGGUAAAUUUCAUCUAAAGCUAAAUAUUGGCGAGAGACCGAUAGCGAACAAGUACCGUGAGGGAAAGAUGAAAAGAACUUUGAAAAGAGAGUUAAACAGUACGUGAAAUUGUCAAAAGGGAAGCGUUUGACACCAGUGUUGUUUUCUCGAAAAUCAAUUAAAAAUGGCUCGAUUUUGUAUUGCUUGAGACCUUAAAAGCUCACUGUACAUUUUUCGUGUCUUUUUUAAUGCACUUUUCGUUUAACAAGUCAACAUCAGUUUCUUUUGUUGUAAAAGGGUCAUUGGAAGGUGGCUUCUUUUCGGAGAAAGUGUUUAUAGCCUUUGGCCUCUGCAAUCGAAGAGACUGAGGUCUGCAGCGUAGACUCUUCGGGGUUAGAUACAUUUGUGCUAAGUUAUAGCUUUUUAUAGACAACUUGUUGACUAUAAUUAGUCUUGUAGCUUACUCGCUUAUGCUAUUUUACCUACGCUUAGGAUGUUGAAGAUGUAGCACAUCAU